Molecule: long non-coding RNA, 858 nt
Organism: Polistes canadensis
Lineage: Eukaryota; Metazoa; Arthropoda; Insecta; Hymenoptera; Vespidae
Exons: 5
Source: RefSeq, a predicted model, not a curated record
AAAGCAACGCUCGUGCCAUAGUGAGAUUUUAAUUAUUGUGUUUUAUAUGCUUUUUUCUGUGAUUUAUUUCUAAAUUAAAAUGAUGGUUUCAGUUGUAUUCGAAUUUAUUUUAUUUUAUGUCAAGACCCCGUUAUUGUGGAGUAAUGAAGCUAAUAUGUCAUACAUUAAUUUCACAAAUGACUAAAUAAAUAUUUAUGAUAAAUACUAUGAAAAUAAAGAAAGGAUGAAAGUUGGAGAUAGUUGAUCUAGGACCUCUCAUUUAUGUAAAAAGGAUGUUUUAAUCUUAAAGUAGUUAUCAGGGCCAGUCGAUUUUUCUCAUGAUGCCAAGUGAACGAGAAUCUGCAAAGGAUAUUGCAACAAGAGCUAAGUGGUUUGAAUUUAAAUGAUUAUCAUUAUCAAAAUUGAUGUCAAUUUAAAUGUUUGUUAUUAAAUCAUCCACAAUAGAUUAGUGAUCAGCAAUAAUUAAUGGAGCAUUAAUGCAGAAAUCAAAGCAUUAUGAUCAAAUUAAAGAAAAAAGAACGAAGAGAAAUUGACCGCUCCAGCAGCAGCAGCACCACCACCACCACCACCAUCACCACCGUCACUACCACCAGCAAUAUUACCAUCAUCACCAUCGCAACAACAGCAUCAACGGUACUACCAUAGGCAGCAACCACGAGUUUUAUGACGGCGGAUCGUAAAAAGGAAAAAUACGAAAACCGAUAAGGAUAAGAAGAAAGGGAUAGCGCGUGUUUCGUCGAAUAAGAAUUUCGUGGAAGGAUCUUUUAAAGGGUCUUCCCGUCGCGAACGAAGCAGGUGCAAUGCUCGUCCAAAAAUUGCUGACACUCGGCACACUUCAAACAGGCGGCGUGCCACUCG